GAUUUGUCUCAAACAAUGGCACAAACAAUGGCACAAACAAUGGCACAAACAAUGGCACAAACAGUGGCACAAACAGUGGCACAAACAAUGGCACAAACAGUGGCACAAACAAUGGCACAAACAGUGGCACAAACAGCAACGACAACACCAUUUUCAUUUUGAACGAUUCGCAUUUAAAAUACAAUAACGUGUCAAUUAAAAAAAAAGAUAUAUUGAACAUGUUUUUAUUUUUGAAUAAAAAUAAUUUUAUCGAAUGUUGUAAUUAUUUGAAUAAGUUGUUGUUUAUGUUUGUAAAUCAAUACGGAGAGAAAGAAAUAAUAAGCAUUCUUGUGAACCAUAUGAAACAUAAUGGCACGGGUAGUACCAGUAGUACCAUUAGUACCAGUAGUACCAGUGGCACAUACAGUACAAACAGCAAGGACAACAUAAACAUUGGUAUAAACAGCGAUACAAAUGGUGGUAUAAACAGCGAUACAAAUGGUGGUAUAAACAGCGAUACAAAUGGUGGUAUAAAUGGCGAUACAAAUGGUGGUAUAAAUGGCGGUACAAAUGGUGGUACAAAUGGUGGUACAAACAACGAUGACCAGUGUCAGUACGAUUUACUUUUAAUAAAUAAAAUUUUAAACAUUUUUAUUUACAAAAAAAAAAACAUUUCAUUAAGUAAUAAUAUAAUAAUAUGUAAUAUUUUAGCAAAACACCAAUUAUUUUAUAACAACUUUUUUUGUAUAAAUAAAAAUAAUUUUAUGAACGAACUAAAAGAUGUACAUAUACAUUCGCUUGUUUCAUUAAUACAUUCAUUGGGAAAAUUAAAAAUAAAAAAUAUCGACAUCGAAUUUUAUAAGUUAAUAAUUCAAGAAAUUUUAAAAAAAAUUAAUAAAAUUAAUGAAUAUGGAUUAUCUUGCUUAUUAUAUGGUUUAAAUAAUUUAAUUGAUAAAAAAAAGGAGAGAGAGUUAGAAUUAGUAGAAGAUGGAGGAAAAGGAAAAAGUAUAUUCAAUUUUUUUAAUAAAAAUGAAAAUGGUACUAUACAUAAUAAUAUAAACCAAAAUUAUAACAAUACAUCCUCUAUUGUUAAUAACACUGACAGUAUAACUGACAGAACAAUUGA
Molecule: long non-coding RNA, 1105 nt
Filed under: Piliocolobus tephrosceles (Ugandan red Colobus)
Lineage: Eukaryota; Metazoa; Chordata; Mammalia; Primates; Cercopithecidae
Description: lncRNA (ENSPTEG00000014909.1)
Source: RNAcentral